This is a non-coding RNA of Myodes glareolus (Bank vole), 1245 nucleotides long. The record is from RefSeq and is a predicted model, not a curated record. Lineage: Eukaryota; Metazoa; Chordata; Mammalia; Rodentia; Cricetidae.
CAUCCCAAAGACUCAGCUUCUUUCCAUUUCUCAGCUCAGCUUUGACCUCCCUGUGCUAGACCCUGAAGGCCACCUCAGCGUCUCCGCCUUUCUGUCGGAACCCCACUGUCAAGUCUCCUUGGCUGCAGUUGAGACCCAAGUUCCAUCCUGAGCUCAUGACCCUCAAAACUGACUAUGACUGUGAGCCGUUGGAAAAUAGCUCACAGGACUAACAGGAUAACAAUUCCCACCUAGCCAGGUAAAGCUAGCCGGGUGGCAGGACGCAGCCUGCUGCUCCUAUCACUACACAGCUCUCCUAUUUGGAAAAGGAGAAGCUCUGGUUGACUGCUCAAUCCCAUGCAGCUGUGAUCCCCUGCAGACUCAGUUUCCCAGGGCACCACCACUGAAAGUCUUGCUGGAUCUUCUGAGCCUGGUAGCCAAAGACUGAAGCUCUCCUGGGACCCCUGUCCCCGUGAAAUCAAGAUUACCACAGGGAACCUCAGGCUGCUGUCCUGCUAGCCUGGCCACCUGAUUGCUCGCCGCUUCUUCAUCUCACCUGGCUGCCCAACCCUGUUAUUGGGCAGAGAUAUCAAGGUCAAGUUACAUUUUUUUUUCCUCAAUCAACUCGCUCUGGAAUUUUUCCUCUUCUCCUUGCCUGUGAAGAGCUCCCUAUUCACAUUAAUACUUUGCCCCACCCCCUACCAGACCCCUUGUUAACCCAAAAGUGUGGGACACUUCCUCUCUCUCAGUGGCCUCACACCACUGAUUAAGAUCCUACUCAGGCACCCAGUCCCUACCCUUGUCGCUCUCAAUACCGUAUUCCUGUGAAAACACAGGUGUAAACCUAUCAUAGAGCGUGUUCUUGAUAAAGGUAUCAAGCAUGCUCACCUACCCUAUAACGUUCCUAUCCUGUCCGCACUACAGCCUGACGGUUCUUACCGCCUAGUCCAGGACCUCGGGAUUAUUACAGCAGCUGUAGUCCCUGACUCUUAUACUCCCCUCUCUCAGAUCCCCUCCUCCACCUCUCAUUAUACUGUCCUAGACCUAAGGAUGCUUUCCUCACCGUCCCUUUACACUCAGAAUCACACAAUCUAUUCGCUUUCACCUGGGAGGAUCCUGACAUGCGUACAGCAUCCCAGCUUACUCGGACUGUCCUUCUCCUGAGGUUCUGAGACAGCCCCCACUUUUACUGACCUGGUCUGCUUUGCUAUGUUAAAUAGGAACCUCAGCCAUAUAGGGACUGUGAUAAAGGAGAUCCUAAGACAU